Molecule: ribosomal RNA, 673 nt
Filed under: uncultured Flavobacterium sp.
Lineage: Bacteria; Pseudomonadati; Bacteroidota; Flavobacteriia; Flavobacteriales; Flavobacteriaceae
Description: bacterial SSU rRNA
Rfam family: Bacterial small subunit ribosomal RNA
Source: RNAcentral
AGUCGAGGGGUAUUUUGUCUUCGGACGAGAGAGACCGGCGCACGGGUGCGUAACGCGUAUGCAAUCUACCUUUCACAGAGGGAUAGCCCAGAGAAAUUUGGAUUAAUACCUCAUAGUAUAGUACCUUGGCAUCAAGGAACUAUUAAAGAUUUAUCGGUGAAAGAUGAGCAUGCGUCCCAUUAGCUAGUUGGUAAGGUAACGGCUUACCAAGGCUACGAUGGGUAGGGGUCCUGAGAGGGAGAUCCCCCACACUGGUACUGAGACACGGACCAGACUCCUACGGGAGGCAGCAGUGAGGAAUAUUGGUCAAUGGGCGCAAGCCUGAACCAGCCAUGCCGCGUGCAGGAUGACGGUCCUAUGGAUUGUAAACUGCUUUUGUACAGGAAGAAACACUCCCUCGUGAGGAAGCUUGACGGUACUGUAAGAAUAAGGAUCGGCUAACUCCGUGCCAGCAGCCGCGGUAAUACGGAGGAUCCAAGCGUUAUCCGGAAUCAUUGGGUUUAAAGGGUCCGUAGGCGGCUUAAUAAGUCAGUGGUGAAAGCCCUACGCUUAACGUAGGAACGGCCAUUGAUACUGUUAGGCUUGAAUUAUUAGGAAGUAACUAGAAUAUGUAGUGUAGCGGUGAAAUGCUUAGAGAUUACAUGGAAUACCAAUUGCGAAGGCAGGUUACUAC